AGCAUGCAGGAAAUACUCCUAUGCCAUCAAAACCCCCCCACAACAUCAGCUCACCUGAAGAGAAUCUCACUGUCCAGAAAAUGGACCCCAUCAGCACCAGUAGUCUGUGCUGCUCUCCUGGUUAUUUUACCCUUCACUGUCUUCUGGUGGAUCAGAAGAAAAAGGACUUCCAGGUAAAAUCCUAGAACUGAAACGUCAGACAACAUGGAGCAGAUAAACUCUGGUCCUGUGUAUGACAACAUCUCAGCUCCACCACCAGUCUCCCCUACAGCAGAGUGCACUUCUCUAAGAGCCAGACGGAUCCUCUCUACUCCACCGUGCAGCCCCGACGACAGGAGCAUGUGCACUAGGGCUGUUGUCAACUUUAGACGAAACAGGCCCUCUGAGUGAACAUCUGUCAUUACAAAUUAUUCAGACUCUUUGUCACCUUGCUUAUAAAAGACAAGUAGCUGUAUACCGCGGUCAACAAGACU
Long non-coding RNA from Etheostoma spectabile (orangethroat darter), 473 nucleotides. RefSeq lists it as uncharacterized. The record is from RefSeq and is a predicted model, not a curated record. The transcript is spliced from 3 exons. Lineage: Eukaryota; Metazoa; Chordata; Actinopteri; Perciformes; Percidae.